RNAcentral lists this long non-coding RNA (2696 nucleotides) under Panax ginseng (ginseng). Its description in RNAcentral is "long non-coding RNA (PGIN_LNC000417)". Lineage: Eukaryota; Viridiplantae; Streptophyta; Magnoliopsida; Apiales; Araliaceae. The record is from RNAcentral.
CCAUAUUUAUAAAACAACGUAUGACGAUAGUUGGUCAAAUAUACAAUCAUUACUCUUCACCCACAUCCGAAUCUAAAGUUUGGUCGAUACAAAGAUAUUUUAAAGGAAUUUCCCUCGCUUUGCACAUCCUAAGCUCAUGUCCUAUUCUAAAUCUAAAGUUGUAAGCCUCGUUUGGAGUCCACCUCGGUUCCUUCAUGAUGUUUAUCCGGUGCAAAAAGAAAUCUACGUAUUUUGCAACAUAAACGCCACAAUCGUCUGAAUUCUAUUGUCUCGGCCUACUCACGCAGACUUCAACUUUCGGCUUUGAUCUUGGCCACUUUGCUUUAUGGUUUUCCAUACGAAGCAACAAAGGAAUUAACUCCACCUAUAAACCAUAAAACAAUCAUUUAAUUCCCUAAACCUCAUAUGUUUGUAUGAUGGAAUGAAAAAGAAGUAAUAUAUUAAUGAACGCACCACAACACCAAACUAGUUUUGAUAUAAUUGUGACAAUGACAUUAAGGGUUUGUCAUCAUUAAGUGGAUCAAAUAGCAUUAUUUUUCACUUGUUCACACUCCAAAUAAAUAGGCAAAAAUGACUGUUGCUUUCGUUGAUGAAUGGAACGAAUAUGUAAUCAGACUCAUGAACUGGGGCACCAACUGGAGGAUUGAUGUAACUUGUUAAAAAUUUGAGUGUUGUUGAUUUGCUUACUCCGGCACUUGGUAAGUAUUGGAUGCCCAAACCCGCAAAGUACGUUGGCAUGAAAUAAAAGGUAGCCCAUCGUUGGAUUCCUUCACUCAUCAUCUUAGCUUCUCUGUCUCUCAACAAUAACAAAUAUGCAUCCAAUACAUGCGCCCAUAACCAACCAUUGGCUCUCAGACAGUUCACAUCCUUAAACUCUAAGUUGUAUAGAUCGCCUGGAUGGAUAUGAGGAAAGUAUGAUGGGUCGUGAGUUGGACUAAACCAAUAGUGAUUUAACCAAGUGAUUUUCUCAUUCUUUAAAUACUUGAGAAGGUGAGUGUGCUUUGUUCCCUCUCUCCCUCUAACCGGCAAUUUCCUACUGUGUUCAAUAGAAGGAGCAAAGCUAGCAUGAGUUUCUUUAUCCAUAUUUAAAUUCUCAUUUAAUUGUAUAAUUUAUUGUACAUAAUUAAUAAUAUUUCAUAAAUAUGCAUUUAAAAUAAAAAUACGACAAUUGAACUUAAUUUAUGGCCAGGGCAGGGGCAAAACUGCUCUCGAGAUAGUAAUUAACCUUUAACAAAAAGAUAUUAAAGUAAAUUUUAUAUAGUUAUAUAAACAAACUAGUACUAAUAUAUUGUGAAUUUUAUAUAGUUAUAUAGUGUAAAUUAUGUGUCUUGUGUUGAAUACACCUUCAAAAAAGUCACAAUCCAUAACAAAUAAAAUUAUUUUGUAACAAUCAUUGUAUCUGUAGAUAUGUAAUAAUCCUAGAUAUUUUUAAAAGUUAAAUAAAUUAUAUUAAUUUUAAAAAAUUAAAUUUGAUUAUAUACUUUGAAAGUAAUUUAUAAUACUAUUAGAAUUUUAAUUGAUUGAGAUAUGUAGUUAAUGUAGGUAAUUAGAAUUAUUGUUUAUUAUAAAUUAUUUUAUUAUUUUUAAUAUUUAUUAUUAUUACUAUUUUUGGUGUAGCAAGAUUUUGCAAAUAAAUAAAUAAAUAAAGGAAGAAGCCCGCGGCUCGGCCCGACCCGAGCCACGGGCCUCACAAUUUCAGCCCGCUAAAACACGGGCCAUUUUGGACCCGGCCCGAGCCCGGUCUGCCCACCCAUUUGCCACCUCUAAAAGGGGCACACUUGAAAUUUUUUGCCCUGGGCCUUGUAAAACCAGGACCGGCUCUGGUGAGCAAGUGGUAUUCAAUCAAUUCGAAAAGCAAUCAAAUAGCAGUGGCAAAACCAAGCACGCCAGCAGAAAUCUUCUUGUUUCUCCAUAAUAGUAAGACAAAAUACACUGCAUAUUGAGAGAGAUAAAGGGGUUUGGGUAGAUUAAAAGUCUUUUUCACACAAUUUAUAUCACACCAAUAUAUUAACCAUUUUACCUGACUAGCGCGAAGCUCAAGUGCAACCUCUUCUUGUGAGUUAGGCCACUAAUCAGUUCAAGCUUCAUCCAUCUGCUCCUGCACGAACCCAAAAGACAUACAACUAAGUUACCUUCAUUUGAAUUUAGGCCACUAGAAUAGUAAAAAAUAAGUGAACUGAAAAAAAAAAGUUACCUUCAUUUAGCUAACUGUUUAGCAACAAUAAAUUCCCUAAAUGAAUAGAUACCAACUGAAAACAGAAGGAAAAAAAACAACUACUUUCUUGACAAUGAAUAAAGCUUAAUUAGUUGGAUAAGCGAGAUAGGAAAUAUAUUAACUCAAAAGAAAAAGGAGAUUUGUCCAUCAAAAGAUGAUGUAUCAAGUACACAAGUCAAAUGUAAAACAUUAUAUUUUACUCUUAAAAUGUACUUAGUCUUCUAGUUUUAAAUAUGAAAAAUCAUUAGUGCACUUACAAGGAGUCCCUUGCGGAUAAAAUUGGAACUUAUUUUAUACUUCUCUCUAUUUUAAUCUCCUUAAUUUGUGUAAAAAGUGUACUUAAGACAUCUUUUGGGGAACAGAGGUAGUAGAAUAUUAACCAUUGCAUGUAGAUGGUUUCUUGUUAAGAUUUAACCAUCAAAAGGAUCAAUUAUAAAUCAUGAAAUUAAUCAAAGAAACAAAAGAAAGGGAAAAUAUACAU